CGGGGGGCAGCACGAUGUAGCAAUACAUUGGUGGCGACCGGCGCACGGGUGAGUAACGCGUAUGCAACCUACCUAUCAGAGGGGAAUAACCCGGCGAAAGUCGGACUAAUACCGCAUAAAACAGGGGUUCCACAUGGAAAUAUUUGUUAAAGAAUUAUCGCUGAUAGAUGGGCAUGCGUUCCAUUAGAUAGUUGGUGAGGUAACGGCUCACCAAGUCCACGAUGGAUAGGGGUUCUGAGAGGAAGGUCCCCCACACUGGUACUGAGACACGGACCAGACUCCUACGGGAGGCAGCAGUGAGGAAUAUUGGUCAAUGGGCGAGAGCCUGAACCAGCCAAGUCGCGUGAAGGAUGAAGGAUCUAUGGUUUGUAAACUUCUUUUAUAUGGGAAUAAAGUGAGGAACGUGUUCCUUUUUGUAUGUACCAUAUGAAUAAGCAUCGGCUAACUCCGUGCCAGCAGCCGCGGUAAUACGGAGGAUGCGAGCGUUAUCCGGAUUUAUUGGGUUUAAAGGGUGCGUAGGUGGUUAAUUAAGUCAGCGGUGAAAGUUUGUGGCUCAACCAUAAAAUUGCCGUUGAAACUGGUUGACUUGAGUAUAUUUGAGGUAGGCGGAAUGCGUGGUGUAGCGGUGAAAUGCAUAGAUAUCACGCAGAACUCCGAUUGCGAAGGCAGCUUACUAAACUAUAACUGACACUGAAGCACGAAAGCGUGGGGAUCAAACAGGAUUAGAUACCCUGGUAGUCCACGCAGUAAACGAUGAUUACUAGCUGUUUGCG
Molecule: ribosomal RNA, 773 nt
Filed under: uncultured bacterium
Lineage: Bacteria
Description: bacterial SSU rRNA
Rfam family: Bacterial small subunit ribosomal RNA
Source: RNAcentral